RNAcentral lists this long non-coding RNA (567 nucleotides) under Felis catus (domestic cat). RNAcentral's name for it is "lncRNA (ENSFCAG00000051638.1)". Lineage: Eukaryota; Metazoa; Chordata; Mammalia; Carnivora; Felidae. The record is from RNAcentral.
AUGAUUUGCGUGACAUAUGAAACGCAGUCGCACAUCAACAAGCAGCCGGGCUUCGGGGACGUGGCCAUGGCCUCUGUGGUGCUGGUGCUGCUGAUGGCGACUGAGAGGAACCGGAGGGGAGCGCCCCCCGAGCCCGCGGCUGCCGCCGAGAUUGUGGCCUGUACAUCACACUGGCUUCUUACUCCACCUGUGAGGCCAUCCAGAGUUUGAAGCCAGAAAUCACACACACAUCAUUUAGCAACAGAGUGAUCAAUUUCCCCUCUGUGGGCUUCAGCUGGAGAAGCUUUCUGCCAGGAAGCUCUGGGUCUUAUCCUCAAGGAGAAAGCUGGGAUCAGUGCUUUCAGAGUUCAGACAUGACACAAGGUGCAGAAUGCUUUUCUGUUUCCUCUGAUUGUCAAGGAUUUUUAUUGAAGCCUCACUUAAACCUGCUUUUCUUUCUUUGACACCAUUUUCUGCAGUUAUGUUUUAUUACCAACUAGAGCUUUGCAUUCAUAAAGGCUAAAUUUAUUCCACUAACGUUGUAGAAAUGGGUCUCUUUCAUCCACACACUAGGUCUUCCUGCAUCCC